This 215-nucleotide unclassified non-coding RNA is filed under the name plant metagenome. Its description in RNAcentral is "partial contains small subunit ribosomal RNA, internal transcribed spacer 1, and 5.8S ribosomal RNA". The record is from RNAcentral.
UCUCCGUUGGUGAACCGGCGGAGGGAUCAUUACCGAGUUUACAACUCCCAAACCCCUGUGAACAUACCUGUUUUGUUGCUUCGGCGGUGCCCUCGCUCUCGCGGCGAGGCCCGCCAGAGGACCCAAACAAACUCUUUGACUUUGAUCUAGGAUUAUACUUCUGAGUGAUACAAAAAAUAAAAUCAAAACUUUCGACAACGGAUCUCUUGGUUCUG